CUAGAGAUAGAGCUUUCCCCUUCGGGGGACAAAGUGACAGGUGGUGCAUGGUUGUCGUCAGCUCGUGUCGUGAGAUGUUGGGUUAAGUCCCGCAACGAGCGCAACCCUUAAGCUUAGUUGCCAUCAUUAAGUUGGGCACUCUAGGUUGACUGCCGGUGACAAACCGGAGGAAGGUGGGGAUGACGUCAAAUCAUCAUGCCCCUUAUGAUUUGGGCUACACACGUGCUACAAUGGACAAUACAAAGGGCAGCUAAACCGCGAGGUCAUGCAAAUCCCAUAAAGUUGUUCUCAGUUCGGAUUGUAGUCUGCAACUCGACUACAUGAAGCUGGAAUCGCUAGUAAUCGUAGAUCAGCAUGCUACGGUGAAUACGUUCCCGGGUCUUGUACACACCGCCCGUCACACCACGAGAGUUUGUAACACCCGAAGCCGGUGGAGUAACCAUUUAUGGAGCUAGCCGUCGAAGGUGGGACAAAUGAUUGGGGUGAAGUCGUAACAAGGUAGCCGUAUCGGA
RNAcentral lists this ribosomal RNA (512 nucleotides) under uncultured bacterium. RNAcentral describes it as "bacterial SSU rRNA". It matches the Rfam family "Bacterial small subunit ribosomal RNA", at positions 1000 to 1509 of the family's 1533-position model. The record is from RNAcentral.